GACGAACGCUGGCGGCGUGCCUAAUACAUGCAAGUCGAACGAACUCUGGUAUUGAUUGGUGCUUGCAUCAUGAUUUACAUUUGAGUGAGUGGCGAACUGGUGAGUAACACGUGGGAAACCUGCCCAGAAGCGGGGGAUAACACCUGGAAACAGAUGCUAAUACCGCAUAACAACUUGGACCGCAUGGUCCGAGCUUGAAAGAUGGCUUCGGCUAUCACUUUUGGAUGGUCCCGCGGCGUAUUAGCUAGAUGGUGGGGUAACGGCUCACCAUGGCAAUGAUACGUAGCCGACCUGAGAGGGUAAUCGGCCACAUUGGGACUGAGACACGGCCCAAACUCCUACGGGAGGCAGCAGUAGGGAAUCUUCCACAAUGGACGAAAGUCUGAUGGAGCAACGCCGCGUGAGUGAAGAAGGGUUUCGGCUCGUAAAACUCUGUUGUUAAAGAAGAACAUAUCUGAGAGUAACUGUUCAGGUAUUGACGGUAUUUAACCAGAAAGCCACGGCUAACUACGUGCCAGCAGCCGCGGUAAUACGUAGGUGGCAAGCGUUGUCCGGAUUUAUUGGGCGUAAAGCGAGCGCAGGCGGUUUUUUAAGUCGGAUGUGAAAGCCUUCGGCUCAACCGAAGAAGUGCAUCGGAAACUGGGAAACUUGAGUGCAGAAGAGGACAGUGGAACUCCAUGUGUAGCGGUGAAAUGCGUAGAUAUAUGGAAGAACACCAGUGGCGAAGGCGGCUGUCUGGUCUGUAACUGACGCUGAGGCUCGAAAGUAUGGGUAGCAAACAGGAUUGGAUACCCUGGUAGUCCAUACCGUAAACGAUGAAUGCUAAGUGUUGGAGGGUUUCCGCCCUUCAGUGCUGCAACUAACGCAUUAAGCAUUCCGCCUGGGGAGUACGGCCGCAAGGCUGAAACUCAAAGGAAUUGACGGGGGCCCGCACAAGCGGUGGAGCAUGUGGUUUAAUUCGAAGCUACGCGAAGAACCUUACCAGGUCUUGACAUACUAUGCAAAUCUAAGAGAUUAGACGUUCCCUUCGGGGACAUGGAUACAGGUGGUGCAUGGUUGUCGUCAGCUCGUGUCGUGAGAUGUUGGGUUAAGUCCCGCAACGAGCGCAACCCUUAUUAUCAGUUGCCAGCAUUAAGUUGGGCACUCUGGUGAGACUGCCGGUGACAAACCGGAGGAAGGUGGGGAUGACGUCAAAUCAUCAUGCCCCUUAUGACCUGGGCUACACACGUGCUACAAUGGAUGGUACAACGAGUUGCGAACUCGCGAGAGUAAGCUAAUCUCUUAAAGCCAUUCUCAGUUCGGAUUGUAGGCUGCAACUCGCCUACAUGAAGUCGGAAUCGCUAGUAAUCGCGGAUCAGCAUGCCGCGGUGAAUACGUUCCCGGGCCUUGUACACACCGCCCGUCACACCAUGAGAGUUUGUAACACCCAAAGUCGGUGGGGUAACCUUUUAGGAACCAGCCGCCUAAGGUGGGACAGAUGAUUAGGGUG
RNAcentral lists this ribosomal RNA (1489 nucleotides) under Lactiplantibacillus plantarum. Its description in RNAcentral is "bacterial SSU rRNA". It matches the Rfam family "Bacterial small subunit ribosomal RNA". The record is from RNAcentral. Lineage: Bacteria; Bacillati; Bacillota; Bacilli; Lactobacillales; Lactobacillaceae.